Molecule: long non-coding RNA, 390 nt
Organism: Dromiciops gliroides (monito del monte)
Lineage: Eukaryota; Metazoa; Chordata; Mammalia; Microbiotheria; Microbiotheriidae
Exons: 3
Source: RefSeq, a predicted model, not a curated record
GUUUGACAGGAGCUAGAUGGGAAUUCACAUAAAGUCUGCUAGCCAUCCUGGACACUGACCCCCCCUGCCACUGGGCCUCAGGCAUCACCAUAAUGUCUGUAAUAACAGUGAAGGCCACAGUGCUACACACCUCUCCCUUCUUGGCAGGGUUUCUCCAGCAUUCUUCAAGUUUGUCAAAAGUCAAAGACAAUUUGCAUAGUUAAUUGCCAGAUAUUUGAGGGCAUGAUGGAAAGUGAAAGAGAUUCCUGGCAUCCAACUUUCUCCACUCACAAGAAGAUUACUGCAGCUCAGGUCCUUGAACUAAAUUCACCUGGACUAUUGUAACGAUAUCCUUAUUUCAAGACUCUCCCUUCUCUGACCAUUCUUCCUCAUUUAUAUGGUCAACAAUCU